UUUUUAAUAGGCCGGGACAGAAAAACUUCGUUAUAAAUUCAUAACUUCUUCGUUUGACGUCCGUUCAAGCCUAACUUUUUAUCGCUUCGAUGCCAACAACGAUACCUUCGAUCCUCGUUUAGAUUGCUUCGGCUAAAAACCCCUCGAUCUCAAAUCGAGUAUUUCAGGCUGCAUACCGCUAAGCUGAAACUUCGAUAAAUCAUAACUUCCUCAUACCUAGUCAGAUUUGGGCGUUCUAUAUAUAUAUUCGGAAACCUCAUUUCAACUACUACAACAUUAACCAAAGAUAUCAAGUUUAUUUUACACUUAAAUUUUGAUGCUUAUUUUUAUUCUUAAUUAAUCAAACCACAUAAUUAAGCAAUUAAGCACAAAACACAUAAUACUCAAAUAAUACAAUCUUAUUAUUUCAAAACGGGCUAGUCAGAUUUGGGCGUUCUAUAUAUAUAUUCGGAAACCUCAUUUCAACUACUACAACAUUAACCAAAGAUAUCAAGUUUAUUUUACACUUAAAUUUUGAUGCUUAUUUUUAUUCUUAAUUAAUCAAACCACAUAAUUAAGCAAUUAAGCACAAAACACAUAAUACUCAAA
Molecule: long non-coding RNA, 588 nt
Filed under: Lactuca sativa (garden lettuce)
Lineage: Eukaryota; Viridiplantae; Streptophyta; Magnoliopsida; Asterales; Asteraceae
Description: long non-coding RNA (LSAT_LNC009939)
Source: RNAcentral